Rhinolophus ferrumequinum (greater horseshoe bat) is the source of this 5567-nucleotide long non-coding RNA. RefSeq lists it as uncharacterized. The record is from RefSeq and is a predicted model, not a curated record. NCBI's taxonomy places the organism in Eukaryota, Metazoa, Chordata, Mammalia, Chiroptera, Rhinolophidae. The transcript is spliced from 4 exons.
GGGAGGGAAGGACCUGCAGGAGCCAGGGCUGCCCGCGAGCUGCAGUUGCUGCUGCUGCCACUGUCGCGCCACCGCCGCUGUCGCUGUCAGCACCAGUCUGGAGAGUGACAGCACUGAAAAAGCAGGAGGGAGAACCGAACCCCGUGCCUUUACGAAACAAGUGCAUGCGCCCAUCUCCUGGCGAGUGGACCCAGCUCGCAAGGUAACCAUUCAUGAGCUUGAGGCUGUGAGAAAUGCUCACUGUGCAAAGGGGAACUCUCACCAGAUUUUCUGAAGCUGUCCUAGAAAUACAGUUUUCAGAUUGAUUCAGCAUUACCAGCUUAUCCGACAAAAGUAUUAACAUAUACAUUAACAACGUCGAAAGUAGCCUACUUUAAGAGAAAAUAUGCAGAAGAAGAAGAUUUACAUCAAGAUUACCAUGGGUAUUUUCCAAAACACCUGAUAUUACCUGAGGACAGGACUUGCAUUCUCAAACUGUCCCUGGAGAAGCUCAGGUUUCUUGAAGACCCAGAAACCUACUUGAGAAGGUCUGUGUUAAUUAACAAUUUGCUGAGGAAGAUCCAUCUAGAGACGGAGAGAGAGAGCUAUGAAUACUUUAAAGAAGCUCCGUGUUAUAAGACUACUUAUUCUGAUACAAGAAAACGGCUGAAGUUUAUGGUACAGGAAUGCUGUUCUCAGUCUCUCUAUUACAAAGAGCUGCAUUCGUAUCAUAUUGUGCCUUAUGCUUCGGAGAAUGCCAUUUAUGGAAUGGGCUACACUAGCAGCCACAUGGAGCAAAAUUCUCAGUUGCUUAUUUAUAAAAUGAAUUAAAGUAACUGUUAAGUCCAUUGAUACUUUGUUUCUAAAUGCCUGAACUGUUUAUAGUGAAGAUGUUAACAUAAGGCACUAUUGACCAGUGCACUUGAGAUCAAAGAUGAGAUGCAUGCUGAACUGAUUGGAGAGAACCCUGGUUAUUACUCAGCAGUCCUUUGCAUUAUCAAGUCAAAUUGGAAAUGUGUCCACAUAUUAUAAAGUGGCGAGUAAGUGCUUUAGAAGCAAAGAAACAAAAAAAAAUUUUUUUUUAAGAUAAGGUAUGUGGAAGAGACGUACAUCAAUAUCUUACACAGAUUUAAACAUUUCAAGCUCCCUAUUUCCAAAUUCUGCCACUUAUAGUGGAAAGUAACAAAAAGUAACAGAUUAAACCCAUAAAAUCUUGUCCCUGAGGAUUGAGGGUGGAACAAAUUUACGGUAAUUUUCUGUAAAUGAUGAGGAGAGGAAUAGGUUCUUUCUGAAAAGCUUUGGCUUGUCAAGCAUUGUGCCAAAUCAUUGUUUGACACCAUUCUCCUUUGACCAUUGGUGGAAAUUCAAGAUGGGGCAAACAUACUGCAACUUAGCUGUUGAAUGUAACAACCAGACUACUCCCAACCUGAUCCAUCUUACUUUUUUUUUUUUUCUCGCUUGAUAGAUUUUUCUCUUUAAAAGUGAAAUUUAAUGAAAUAGCCUGUGGAUGGGCUUAUCUCUAAGUUCUAAGAUGGUUAAAAUUUGUGGUGGGUCUUUAGUUAAGAGUUUAAAUUUUAUUUAUGAUGUCAUUUUUUAUAGGCUGUGAAGCUCAGGAAAAGGGUAGGCAGGUAAAAUUUGUUUUUUAAUAGGGUUGAUAAUUUUUAAAAAUCUUAUCUGCAAAAAUUGGCAAGAAUGGCAGAAACUCUACGUGAUGUUAUUUCUUCAUCUUAGAGUGCAUUUAAAGCUGCCUGGAUGAAACUUUGCACUGAUUUUUGUAUAAUAGUCGACCAUUCACUAUUUGACAAAAUGUUUCAGAAUGACUUUGGUAGUGACCUUUAGAUAAGUCCCUAUAUUUUGCAACUUGAAAGAUAAUUAUUUAAUAAGUUGGACAGAGUCCUGAAAUUGUUUGAAGUGGUUCAUAAUGUUCUUUGAGGUUUGAGUGAGAUGUUCGAUUUCAAUGUCUGGAGUUAUGUCCCAUGGAACAUAUCUUUUAAAGAAUUGUCACUAACUGAUAAAACAGAUUGGGAAAACUAGGUGCCAAAGGUAUAUUCAAGAAAAUACCAAAGACCCAAAGAUGAGUAUUAGAGAGACUAUGAUAAUGAAGAUAGGAAUCUAAAACAAGGAUUUCACAGGACAUAGGAGAACAUUGUUAAAAGAUUUUGGAAUGAUUUUAUUACUCAUGUGCUUUCAGAGCACUUUAUACAUGAGAAUGAUAAUCAAGAACACUGCUUUAAACAAAGACAUUACAAGCCUUUAGUGAUCAUAUGUUUUGGCAAAUUUAAAUAUGGUGAUUUGUCAACAUUGUAUCUUUCCUAGUUGGAAGCCAUCUUGUAACCAAGAAGGCCUUUUUCUCUUCAAGUGAAUUUUGUUUUUAGUUUUGAUUCACUACUUGCUCCCUCUAAUGAAUCACAAGGGUGAUUAACAUGGAUGCUUUGGAUAUAAAGAAUAUUGGUACUCUAAUUAGCAUGCAUUGUUGAACACCACGUACAUAAUAAUUGAUAAUCAGGUUUAUAUUUAAUUGCUCAAUCAAAAUUAGGAAAAAAUGCUUUAGAACAAACUAAAAAAUUACAAUUGAGGCUAAUUUUUAAAGGCAGUUUAGUAUGAAUAGUGAGAUAGAUAGCUUUGAAAUACAAAUCUAAAUAUUUAAAAAUUAAGGGCAAAAAUUUGGCACCAAAGUUGAAAACUUAAUUUUACUGCUUAUAAAAUAUCUUAUUUCUCAGAACGCUUCUUUUAAAAUUUCUUAAACACUGGUGAUAUUAAUUGAAUAGAUUCCAAACAUGAUAGGAUAAUUAUACUGUUAUGUAACUAAAAAUUAGAAUUAGCUCUCUAAUAGUUAAAAAUUUUUUUACUGAAAAGAACAUUUGGCUUGGUUUAGGACAGUGUCUAUAAGAAAAACACACCAGCGUUAAUAGAAGUGAGUUAAAAAAGGUCACGUAUUAAAAUUGUUUGAGGAGAGAAACACAAAUACUUUGGAAUAGAAAAGAGAAGGAGUGGAAAAAAUAACCAAGAAAGUGUGAAAUUGUAAUAUUUGUUGUAUAUCGGAAAUCUUAAACAAAGCAAGAACUCUUAGGCAAUGAACCAGUAAGAGACAUAAAGUCUGUUUUGUUUGGUGACUUUGUUAACCCAACUCUCUGAUCUAUACAUUCAUAUGUAGAGAAGAAACUGUCUUAGAAACCAGCAGUAUUUGUGAAUAUGCUUUAAAAAAAUGUGUUGAUUUCAAAACACGUUAUUUAAAAAAUAUCUUUCAGAACAUCUAAUUUCUCUUCCAAUAAACAAUUCAUAGAUAAAGAGUGGACAAAUGUUAUCUUGACUUUUAGAAAAACAAUAAUUUGUAUUUAAACUGUGUAGCUUGUCUGAGUAAACCCGUAAGAUUUCUGUCAUUUUACCAUGGCAAACUGAUGUAGAGGGAGACCCUAUAUAGGCCUGCUCUGCUGACCCCACCAUGCAUGCUCUAUUAUGAGAGAGGCAAACUGUGGGAGACCAGUUACAACUUUUUUGACCUGGACAUCCUUUCUGUGGUGACAAGAGCCACCCUUAGAGUAAGAAAGAUCGGAUGGGAUAUCUGAGUGCCUUUAGUAAUGUUGAUCACUCUUGUGGUGCCGAAACAGCCUGAAGGCCUAUUAAGGAAGAAGAAAAUUUUAAAAAGAGAGUAGAGGAAAAAUGAAGAGAUGAGGAAGAUUAAAAAGAGGGCAGAGAAAUAAGAAACAGGGUUAGUAAAUGAACAAGACAGUUGUUUCAUGUGUGUGUGUGUGUUGGGGGGAGUUGCUUGUUUGCUAUACUCAAUUUUGCUUUCUUAUACCUGCUGUACUUCUAGAACCUGAUGUCCUCAAUGUAUUGAUCGUUUCUUUCAUUUGUCAGUGAUGUAUUAGAUUAGAUUCUAUUCAGUAUAUGUAUUAUUGGAUAUUUGGUGUUAUUAUGAAAUAUCCCUAAAAUUGAGCUCCUGAGUAGAUGAGAAAAGGAAAAUUAGAAAUUAAUUACGUUGAGGGGGAGAGUAAUUGGCAAGCCCGUGUAUACAUGGAUGAGCUCAAACACAUGAUAAGAUUUCAAUGUACAUCCCUAGAUUGAAUAAAUUCAGUACUAGAGGACUUGGAAAUAGUGCAAUUUCCCAUGAUUAGUUGAGCAACUUCUAUGAACCAGGCACUGUGCCUGAGCUGGGGAUACAGAGUGAGUAAUGCACAGUCUCUUUGCUUAAGCAGUUCACUGAUGAGGGAGGGACUCAGAGAUGUUUGGCUUUGGUUUAAAAGGUAAGAACUCUUUAUUGGGAGUUGCACCUGCAUUUCUCUUUUCCAAACUAUGGGAUGGUUGUCAAACAUAUGUCUCCAAGAUGCCCAUGUGGCUAAGAAGAUGCACAGGGAGAAGGGAGGGCCUACUGACCCAGAUCUCAGAGCAGAAGGAGUGUACAUUCUGCUUUGCAGUGUAUUUUAUACUUGGAAGGAUAAUAGAAAACCACUGUUGAAGACGAGAAGCGUGGCUGACCUUAGCUCAUCCCUGAGAAACAAGAGGUCAUAGGGGAGCUGAAGAGACAAAUGCAAAUACAGACCAAUUCCUCCUGCCCUGACCUCCGUAGUUUUCAUGUUCUUUUACAGGGGAAAUCAGGUUAAUAUUAAUGUCAAGGAGAAAUUUGACAGAGAAUCAGGACUGGGAAAUCAUAGCCUGAGAACUGUAUAUAGUAUGUUCGAGGUUAGAAGGGCAGCGGUUUUUAAUUUGCCUUGUGCUGGUGAUUGCUUUAAAGAACCUUGGGAUAUCUUAACAGCAGCUACUGGAGCCCACCUCCUUCUCUACCACUGGCUUCCUCUCUGAAUCAAUCACAGCCAAACAUCCAGUCUUUGCAGUCCACUGGACGUGGAGGUGUGGUUCUAGUUCUUCAUUCUCUCCCUUUUCCCCCAGCGUUGAUACUGAUUUACUCAAAUAUCUGUGGAAGAAAGCAACAAUUUGCAGUACUGAUUGAACUUCUUUGGGAAAGUGUUUCCAGAGUGUAUCAAACUACAAUUUGUCAGUUUCUCUAUACAAUGCUUUGUAAAACUAUUGUGCUUGGUCAUUAAAUAAUUGCCUAUCAAGGUCAUCUUCAUGUUUCUAGAGUUCAAUGUGUUAGUUAUCCAUUGUAUAUGUUUUGCUAAAGAAAAUACUUUAGCUUGGAAACAAUACAAGAUUGUGUAUAAUUAAUUCAAGCAGUUUAUGAAUAUUUAUGUAAUAUAUGGAAUUUUAACUUACAUUUUCCCAUUCUCAAACUUCAUUACCAUGCAUCAGCAUGUGACAUGUUUCAGGUUCUUUGUUUCUUUAUAAGUGGAUCAUGUCUAAAAGUUGUUGUUUCAUUCAUGGUUGAACAUUUUGGAUAAAAUUUCCCCAUUAAAGUAGUUCUAUCUGUUCCCAAGGAUUAUUUAUAGUUGGGUGGGUAAAAAAACUUUCCUCUACAUUAGCACUUCUCAAAUCUUCUUGUGCAUGUAAGUCACUGGAGAUUUUGUUAAAAUAUAGAUUCUUUUUAGUAGGUCUGGGAUGGGGCCCGAGAGUCUGCAUUUCUCAAGUCUUCUUGGUGAUGUAGAUGUUGCCAGUCGACUGACCCUAUUUAGAGUAGUGAGACUCUACAUCAG